AUACAGGGGGAUAGCAGUUGGAAACGACUGGUAAAACCGCAUAAGCGCACGGUGUUGCAUGACACAGUGUGAAAACACUCCGGUGGUAUGAGAUGGACCCGCGUCUGAUUAGCUAGUUGGUGAGGUAACGGCCCACCAAGGCGACGAUCAGUAGCCGGCCUGAGAGGGUGAACGGCCACAUUGGGACUGAGACACGGCCCAAACUCCUACGGGAGGCAGCAGUGGGGAAUAUUGCACAAUGGGGGAAACCCUGAUGCAGCGACGCCGCGUGAGUGAUGAAGUAUUUCGGUAUGUAAAGCUCUAUCAGCAGGGAAGAUAAUGACGGUACCUGACUAAGAAGCACCGGCUAAAUACGUGCCAGCAGCCGCGGUAAUACGUAUGGUGCAAGCGUUAUCCGGAUUUACUGGGUGUAAAGGGUGCGUAGGUGGCAAGGCAAGUCUGAAGUGAAAAUCCGGGGCUCAACCCCGGAACUGCUUUGGAAACUGUUUAGCUGGAGUACAGGAGAGGUAAGUGGAAUUCCUAGUGUAGCGGUGAAAUGCGUAGAUAUUAGGAGGAACACCAGUGGCGAAGGCGACUUACUGGACUGCUACUGACACUGAGGCACGAAAGCGUGGGG
This 616-nucleotide ribosomal RNA is filed under the name uncultured bacterium. Its description in RNAcentral is "bacterial SSU rRNA". It matches the Rfam family "Bacterial small subunit ribosomal RNA", at positions 133 to 766 of the family's 1533-position model. The record is from RNAcentral.